Molecule: ribosomal RNA, 557 nt
Filed under: uncultured bacterium
Lineage: Bacteria
Description: partial 16S ribosomal RNA
Rfam family: Bacterial small subunit ribosomal RNA
Source: RNAcentral
UGGGGAAUUUUGGACAAUGGGCGAAAGCCUGAUCCAGCAAUGCCGCGUGUGUGAAGAAGGCCUUCGGGUUGUAAAGCACUUUUGUCCGGAAAGAAAUCCUUGGCUCUAAUACAGUCGGGGGAUGACGGUACCGGAAGAAUAAGCACCGGCUAACUACGUGCCAGCAGCCGCGGUAAUACGUAGGGUGCAAGCGUUAAUCGGAAUUACUGGGCGUAAAGCGUGCGCAGGCGGUUUGCUAAGACCGAUGUGAAAUCCCCGGGCUCAACCUGGGAACUGCAUUGGUGACUGGCAGGCUAGAGUAUGGCAGAGGGGGGUAGAAUUCCACGUGUAGCAGUGAAAUGCGUAGAGAUGUGGAGGAAUACCGAUGGCGAAGGCAGCCCCCUGGGCCAAUACUGACGCUCAUGCACGAAAGCGUGGGGAGCAAACAGGAUUAGAUACCCUGGUAGUCCACGCCCUAAACGAUGUCAACUAGUUGUUGGGGAUUCAUUUCCUUAGUAACGUAGCUAACGCGUGAAGUUGACCGCCUGGGGAGUACGGUCGCAAGAUUAAAACUCAAA